GUCCCUGUAGCGUAAUGGAUAGCGCGCGCGUUGGACAUUUAUUUAAAGGUUGUGGGUUCGAAUCCCACCUGAGAUG
Molecule: non-coding RNA, 76 nt
Organism: Trichonephila inaurata madagascariensis
Lineage: Eukaryota; Metazoa; Arthropoda; Arachnida; Araneae; Nephilidae
Source: the annotation of a GenBank genome assembly